AAAGGCCGCAGAAUUUUAACUGUGCAAAGGUAGCAUAAUCAUUAGAUUUUUAAUAAGAAUCUUGUUUGAAUGGAUAAAUGAAAAAAAAACUUUUUUAUUUUAAUAUUAUUGAAUUUUAUUUUUCAGUUAAAAAGCUAAAAUAAAAAAAAGGGACGAGAAGACCCUAUAGAAUUUUAUAAAUUUUAUUAUUAAUUUAAUUUAAUUAAUAUAAUAAUUAAUAAAUAAUUUAUUUUAUUGGGGUGAUAAUUAAAUUUAUUUAACUUUAAAUGUAUGAAUUCAUUUAUAAUUGUUUAUUUGAUCUUUUUUUAUUGAUUAAAAAAUUAAAUUACCUUAGGGAUAACAGCAUAAUAAUAUUAAGAAGAUUUAUUUUUAAUAUUGAUUAUGACCUCGAUGUUGGAUUAAAUAUAUUUUAAAAUUAGAAAUUUUUUAAAAUAAGUCUGUUCGACUAUUAAUUAUUUACAUGAUCUGAGUUCAAACCGGUGUAAGCCAGGUCGGUUUCUAUCU
RNAcentral lists this ribosomal RNA (504 nucleotides) under Dasineura virgaeaureae. RNAcentral's name for it is "partial large subunit ribosomal RNA". The stretch from base 336 to 493 matches the Rfam family "Archaeal large subunit ribosomal RNA", at positions 2542 to 2701 of the family's 2987-position model. The record is from RNAcentral. Lineage: Eukaryota; Metazoa; Arthropoda; Insecta; Diptera; Cecidomyiidae.